RNAcentral lists this ribosomal RNA (223 nucleotides) under uncultured Funneliformis. RNAcentral describes it as "partial 18S ribosomal RNA". It matches the Rfam family "Eukaryotic small subunit ribosomal RNA", at positions 569 to 766 of the family's 1831-position model. The record is from RNAcentral. Lineage: Eukaryota; Fungi; Glomeromycota; Glomeromycetes; Glomerales; Glomeraceae.
AGCAGCCGCGGUAAUUCCAGCUCCAAUAGCGUAUAUUAAAGUUGUUGCGGGUAAAAAGCUCGUAGUUGGAUCUCUUCUCUGUUGGUGGGUGGUCUUCCUCAGUUGGGAGUUACUGCCUCACCCGAGAACUCAUUUACUGGGUCCCGGUCGCGAGGCCGGGGUUCGUGUCUCCGUGCCCUUUACCGGGUGCGGGGGCCGCUCAGUAGGUUUACUUUGAAAAAAU